RNA transcript from Bombina bombina (fire-bellied toad), 8266 nucleotides. It is a transcript of the gene named QKI, KH domain containing RNA binding, with no coding region annotated. The record is from RefSeq and is a predicted model, not a curated record. The transcript is spliced from 9 exons. NCBI's taxonomy places the organism in Eukaryota, Metazoa, Chordata, Amphibia, Anura, Bombinatoridae.
CUGGGGACACACACAAUUUGUUACUACACGGGCAUUGUGCUGAUCUGCUGCUGCUGCUGCACUGACUGACACAGGAAUCCAGCGAGGGAGUACAGGCAAAAAGCAGCUCCAGCAAACAAGAGGAGAUAGCCAGGACUUCAAGCCCAGAGUCAACUAGCCGCAGCCAGCAUUGCUGUGCAGAACCGAUUCUCAUCACACGACUCGAUAUACGAUUUCAAAAUUUUUUACUUUUUGGAAAAAGAUUGGAAUAUGGUUGGGGAGAUGGAAACCAAGGAGAAACCGAAGCCGACCCCAGAUUAUUUAAUGCAGUUAAUGAACGACAAGAAGCUUAUGAGCAGCCUUCCUAACUUCUGUGGGAUCUUUAACCACCUAGAAAGACUUCUGGAUGAAGAAAUUAGCAGAGUACGAAAAGAUAUGUACAACGACACGUUAAAUGGCGCCAACAAUGAAAGGAGGAGUGCAGAGUUACCCGACGGUAUUGGACCUAUUGUACAAUUACAAGAGAAACUUUAUGUGCCUGUAAAAGAAUACCCAGAUUUCAAUUUUGUUGGACGAAUUCUGGGCCCCAGAGGACUUACAGCUAAACAACUGGAAGCGGAAACAGGGUGCAAGAUUAUGGUUCGAGGCAAGGGCUCCAUGAGAGACAAAAAGAAGGAGGAACAAAAUCGAGGCAAACCAAACUGGGAGCACCUGAAUGAAGACUUACAUGUAUUGAUAACUGUGGAAGAUGCUCAAAACCGAGCAGAAAUGAAGUUAAAAAGAGCAGUUGAAGAAGUCAAAAAGUUGCUAGUUCCAGCAGCAGAAGGAGAAGACAGCUUAAAAAAAAUGCAGCUGAUGGAAUUGGCCAUCUUGAAUGGCACCUACAGGGACGCCAACUUAAAAUCACCAGCCCUUGCCUUUUCUCUUGCAGCGACAGCUCAGGCCCCUCGGAUUAUUACAGGGCCUGCGCCUGUUCUGCCCCAAGCUGCUCUGCGUAAUCCUACGCAAGCUGGCCCUACCUUAAUGCCUUUGAUCAGACAAAUACAGACGGCUGUCAUGCCAAAUGGAACCCCACAUCCAACAGCUACAUUAGUUCCACAAGGACCUGAAACUGGUUUAAUCUACACACCUUAUGAUUAUCCCUAUACACUGGCCCCUACAUCAAUCCUUGAGUACCCCAUUGAAACAAGUGGUGUAUUAGGUAUGGCUUUCCCAACAAAAGGCUAAGAAUUCAAGAAAGUUGUCUUAACUGAACCCUCACCACAUCUGAAUCCUAACAAUUGCAUAGUUUCAGCAGUCUGAAAAAGAAAACAAAACAAAAAAACUUUCUGAAAGAACUUUGCCUAGCAGUCAGUGACUUACUUGCACUUAUUUCUUCUUAUUUUGCACAUAAACAUAUUUUAUGUUGAUCAAUAUUUGAUUUAGUCUAUACCUUGAGACAGUGGUAGUUAUAAGUGAGUGUACAGUAGAAUACUGACUGCUACGUUUCUUCUUCAGCGUGCUUUACUAAUCACUUAAUUCAUGUGGUUCCUACUUACUGACUUAAGGUUUUCAAACCGUGGAUAAAUAAUGCAAAUAAUUUAAGCUUAAAACAUAAACUGGAAGUGAACUUAAUUGUAACAUAUGUCAGUAUUACAAUGGCAUUAUUUUGUCCUACUGCAAGUAAAGCACUUCAUUGAAUAUGUGACUAGUAAAGCUUUAUAUUGCUUGGGUCUUACAGAUUUCAAGAAAUACUGUUCUUGAGUGGCAAAUGGAUGAAUUAUGUUCCAAUUCAGUGCCAAGGUGCUUGAAGAUUAUAUCCUUGCCCAGCACAUGCACUGACGGAAUAAACCAGUUAAGGCCAGAGAUGUGAUAUUAAUUGCAAUAUUAAUCUGCACAUGUCAACUCCAUAAAUAGCAAGGGUUCAAACUACCGUGCCUUAACUUGUUUUCUUAACGAAGAAGAAAAAAAAUGAAGCUUUUGUAGCAAACCAUCAUGUAAAUCCAAUUUUUGAUGAAACCUGCUAUUAAUUGUGUCAGAUUUGUUUAUGAAUGUUUGUUUUCUAACUAUGUCUUGGUAAUUGCAAUUUAACUAGGUGCGGUGGCUACUAAGGUUCGAAGGCAUGAUAUGCGGGUCCAUCCUUACCAAAGGAUUGUGACCGCAGACCGAGCCGCCACCGGCAACUAACCUAUGACCUUCUGACCUCUGAACUCUUCACCCAAUGAUGACCUGACCAUGCCUGCCUGCUGAUCAGUUAACUGGUAAUCGCCUCUGCUUGUCUGUCUUCAGUGCAGCGAGCUGAGGCACUUGUCCGUUCGUCUUACCAUCUAACAAAAAGACACACAGAAAUAUAAUUUUCUUCCAACUCAGCAUUUUUUUAUUCUCCCCCCUUCCCUUGAUUGGGUGAAAGUGAUUCUAGUAUCUGCACUGAAUUGUAGCAAAGCAAUAAGGUCCAAUUCAGCCCUCCGCACUGAUCAUCCUUUUGUGUCCUAACCAAACGAACGGUAUAAAGGCCUCACCUACAGUACUGGCGAGACAGCUGAUCCUCAACUACCGAUGACAGAGGCAGUUACUGUGAGAGACUUCUAGGAAUCUUUUUUUUGUUUUUCUCUCGUAUAGUGAAGUUAAAAGCUAUCUCUGAAUGUACUGUGUUGUGAUGAUGCAUAAUGCAUGAACCUAUUUGGUCAGGGGUUUCACUGGGGAAGUUAUUUAACAAAAAAGGUAUUCAAAAUAUAACAUACUGUUUUGUCACUACACUGCCCUUCUGGGGUAGAAGUUGUAAUCUUUUUAUUUUCUUUAUGAUAUUGCCUGCCAAAUUUGUUAUAUUACGAUGGGUGCCAUGAAAAAAUGUUGAUUUACAAUUUUUUAAUCUGUUAAGAAAAAAAAAAAAUAUAUAUAUAUAAAAAUAUGAAACUUCUUUAACUCACACAUGGGUUGUGAUGCAAUUAAUGGAAAUAUUAGUCUCCAAGCCUGGAAUAAGGUACAUGCAUUAUGUAUCACUUUACUGGGCAAACUGUUCAAAUAUUUUUUAGACCUCCCUGUAUAGAAAAAAUACAUUAAGGAUGUAAAAGCCAUGCUUGCCUAUUUGCUGUAUAAUUGUAAUGAAAUUGUAGAUAAGUGUAGUGCAUUGAAACAAAUGAACAAAAAAGUAGAUAAUUUUACUAUACAAGGGUGCUGGUGCAGAAAAAAAAAUAUAUUUUUGGAAAUGUAGCAUUUUAUACUUUAAAUUAUUAUAAAAAAAAAAAAAAAAAGAAAAAAAAAAAAAGAACAAAGAAACCCUUUAUUGCAUCAAAUGAUUUUUGUUUGUUUUUUUUCCUUUUCGGUGGUAGUCAAGAAAUAAGACCAAAAGAGCCUUUUUGUCCUUUUUUUUUUUUUUUUUUUUAUUAAUUUUUUUAAAUUUUAUUAUUAUUAUUGGAAUAAGUCAAAAGAAAGUGCCUUAUUUUUCCUCAUGGUCAUUUAAUCCAAUGUCAUAAAGAACAUUUUGUUUUUUAAUAAUCGUUUCUGGGUUGAUGGAGCCUGCAGCCUGUUGCAAAGCAAUACUAAGGGGGUCUAAAGUAGUUUCAGAAAAAAAGCCAAGCCAGUUAAUGCCAGUCGCCCAGUACAGUAUAUUUAAAAAUACUUGAGUGAAGAAAUGUUGACAUUUGAAUACGCCAGGUCUUUGUCAUUUUUUUUUUUUUUUUUAAGCGACAACCAGCAGCUACAAUUUGACCUACUUUAAAAAAAAUUCAGGCAUGCACCUAUAUAUAUAUAUAUAUAUAUAUAUAUAUAUAUAUAUAUAUCCUUAAGGUGCAUCAAAAUCUCAAGUUAGCAAUAUUUAUAGACUAUUUAAAAAAUAAAUUUAAAUAAAUCCUUUUAUUGUUGUAGUUAUCAAGACAAUUGUUGCCUCCUAAAAUGCUUGUGUGAAAAAAAGCAUAUUCUAGCUCCAAAUAAGCUGACUGUAAUUUCAACCUUCUAGUUAUUCAGUUCCAUUUAUUAUUUUCACUUACAAUUGUGAUAAAGAUCUGGUUAUUGCCUUUAUUUUCACCCUUGUCAACGCUUCCCUCAGUUGUUUAAGAUUUCCCUUUCAAAGGUCAGCAGUUAGCCCAGAGCGCUUAUUUUUCAACCACCUUUGUGGUCACCACAUUCACCAUUAUGUCUCACUCAAAUUAUCAAUUAAUUUACUAUGCAACAGACAUUCAUCUUUUUCUAUUCAGCAGCAGUAGCUUUUAUUUACGGUGCCACCAGCUUUGUCUUCCUGUUAAAUUUGUAUUUUGUCCUUUAAAUUUUUAUUUUUUUGCAAGAACCCCCCCCCUUUUUUUUUUUGAGUGGUUAGAUCAAAUCUGCGACACUCAAGCAUUUAGAGAGAUAUCUUUGAAUAUAAGCAACCAGUAUUUGAUCCAGUUUCAUCUCAUCUAUGAUAAACCUGGACAUUUUUAGAUGUUUUUGAAAGGAUUUUUUAAUUUUUGAGAGUGGUGAAAUUCUGUAAGUCUAUUGAAUAGACGUGUGACACUUAGACGUGUUUGGUAUGAACAAACUUAGGAAACACAGUAAAGUUAAAAAAAUAAAUAAAAAAAAAAUAAAAAAAAUUAAAAAAACAAAACAAAUGGGUCAACAUUAAAAAAGCAUGACAUUUGAAAUCUCUGAAUGCCUUUUUGUUCUCAGUAUUAUCAUUUUUAUGUUUUUAUUCUUUAUUAUUAAAAUAGCUAGGUUUUUUUCAGUCUUUUAUUUUUCUUUUGACAGUAUUAUGUAUUUUUUUUGUUUUUAUUCUAAAGAAUGGGUAGAUGGGAGUGUCGCUGGUGUAUAACCGUGCAAGAUGACAUGUAUUUGUCUAUUCUUUAUAACCUUAGUAGUUUCAUGCUAUGUAUGUAUCAUAACCAACCUAUUGCCUAAAAGAACCUGUAAGAUAAUGUAUUUACAGCCAUUGUUACAAGUUUAUAAUGUAUUUUUCUAUCUUGUUUUAUAUGUAUGUUAUAUAACAUUCAAAGGAAUUUUUUUCCUGAUUUGAGAAAAGGAUACAAAAAAAUGCAAAACCCACAAUUUUUUGAUAACUGAAAAUUGCCAAUUGUUUUGCAGUACUUUAUUAUAUUGGGAGUGUUGUCUUUCUUGGCUUUUAGUUAGCUACUGGAUGACUUCAUUAAACAUAUUGGGUUUUAGUUGGGUUUUUACAUGGCUUGCAUUUUAAUUCUUUGGUUCUUUGCUGUUUCUAUUAACCCCAUAGCAUUAUUUUAAUAAAUGUUAUAAUACCAAGAUACUAACUCUGGACUUUGUCUGUUCAUUAACAUUGUGUGUUUUCAUUACAAUAAGAUAUGUAAAGACAACAAGAAUGUACAGUCUUGAGUUUCUGGACUAACCCUGAAGAGCGUGACCACAGAUAACCCAGCGUUAAUUGUUUUAAUAUUGUUUGUCGGCUGAUAUUCUGCACACUACUAUUAAAAUAGCUUUGGUCAAUCUGGCCGUCUGCCAUGGCAAUGUGUGCCAGUAGAGAUGGGAACAAAAUAGCCUUUACACAAAGUGUAGAGUCUUGCCACUUGCCUUUUCAGCAUCUGCAUUACUAAUGCCACACUUUCCUCCUUUUUGUUCUUCAAAUAAUCAUCUCUUGCAAAUGGGCAUUGAGCCUCCAUGUUUCCUCAGCAAUAACAUAAACUCACAGUAGUGCUUCUAAAUCCAGUUUGAUUCUAUACUGAUAUUGUAUAAUAUGAUCUUUUUUUUUUUAUCUGACACAGUGUUACAUUUUUUUUUUAUCCACAGUUAUCGCAAAGUUACACAAAUACAUUUUUUUUUCUUAUUUCAUAUUGAUCAUGUAAAUUUAGGCAGAGUCAACAUGAUACUACUGUACUAACUGGAAUGUGUACCCUGCAAUAAGAAGAUUUCUAUAAAUCAGAAGAAGGUAUAGACACUUCCAAAGCAAUAUUUUAAAAAUGAUAUAUUUUAUUAUUUUUAUAUAUACACAUACAUUUUAAGGUUUUCAACUAUAGCUGUACAUUUUCACAUUGUAGCGAUCACCCCAACCUACAGUUGAGAUUAUUUUUAUUUAUUUUUAACUCUAAAUAUUUUAAUUCUGUUAAUGUAUUAAAUAUACAUUACCUACUCCUCACUACAAAGGGUUAACAAACACUGGCAUGACGUCAAUCUGCAGUUUACAUUUUAUUUAUUUAUUUUAAUUCUUAUAACACUAUGCUCAUAAUUUAAAUACACACAAUAAUCACAUUUUGUGUCCUUCAGAUGAGGCUUUAUACUUAAUGUACAGCAUAAUUAUCAGGUCACUGCAAUAGUUAGUCUGUGAUAAAGUACCUAAUGAAUUUUUGAGUUCCAAAUAGCUUAUAACCAAAUCUCUUAAAGGGUUGUAGAAGUACUGAUUCAAGGCGAUCUCCAAGCAAAGGAAAGUCUACAUUUUCACAUUAUUGCAAUUUAAAAUAAUGGAGUAGUCACUAGAUACAGGCUUUUCAAUUUUUUAACUUGCAUGAGUUCAAAGUUUAAGGAUAUUUAUCUUUAUACAGGUAGGUCACUAAGUGCUUUGGCUACAUAUUUUAUAUGCACACUUUUUCUUACACUAAGAUCCUUAAAGGGACCGUCUACUCCAGAAUUGUUAUUGUUUAAAAAUAUAGAAAAUCCCCUUAUUACCCAUUCUCCAGUUUUGUGUAACCAACACAGUUAUAUUAAUAUACUUUUUACAUGUGUGAUUACAUUGUAUUUUAGACUCUGCAGACUGUCCCCUUAUUUCAGUUCUUUUCCCAUACUUGCAUUUUAGCCAAUCAGUGCUGACUCAUAAAUUACUCCACGGGGGUGAACACAAUGGUAUCUAUAUGGCCCACAUGAACAAGCGCUAUCUAGCUGGGAAAAACUGUCAAAAUGCACUGAGAUAAGAGGCAGCCUUCAAGGGCUUAGAAAUUAGCAUGCGAGCCUACCUAGGUUUCAACAAAAUAAUGAGAACAAAGCAAAUUUGAUUAUAAAAGUAAUUUGGAAAGUUGUUUAAAAUUGCAUGCCCUAUCUGAAUCAUGAAAGUUUAAUUUUGACUAGAUUGUCCCUUUAAAAAAGUGACCUGUUGUUGCUUUUGAAGACAAAAGUGUGACAGUCCUGCUGUAGAGAUCCUGUCAUUAUCUAGUUUGAUGUAGAAACAUUGGUAUAGCUGUGUGUUGCAGCUGCUGCUGCAAGAUGCACAAAAGGUUUAGCUUGUGGGCAUUAAACACAUUGUGACAUUUUCUUAUGGUAUGUUUAUUAUAUAUAUUUCUAUUUGAUUUUAUAUUCUUAACUUUAAAAUUAUUUGUAUAAUGUUAGUAAACAUUCAAAACCUCUAACAUUUAAGACUCCUAUUUUGUGAUCUAUAAAAAGACAACCAAAGUUAAAUCUUUAAAGGGAUACUGAACCCAAAUGUUUUUCUUUCAUGAUUCAGAUAGAGCAUGCAACUUUCUAAUUUACUCCUAUUAUCAAUUUUUCUUCGUUCUCUUGGUAUCUUUAUUUUAUGAAUGUAAGCAUAGGAGCCGGCCCAUCUUUGAUUCAGCACCUGGGUAGCGCUGGCUGAUUGCUGGCUAAAUGUAGCCACCAAUCCGCAAGCGCUAUCCAGUGAACUGAACCAGAAUAAAGAUACCAAGAGAACAAAGAAACGUUGAUAAUAAGAGUAAAUUAGAAAGUUACUUAAAAUUGCAUGCUCUAUCUGACUCAUGAAAUACACUUUAGGUUCAUUAUCCCUUUAACAACAAGGUCACAUAUUUAGAAACUACAAUAUAAGGAAAAAAAAGUUAAAUGGAAGAAUAUCCAAUGAACACUAACAGAUUCGUUCACUAGUCACACAGGGUUGUGAUCAUAUGGGGAGGAAACAAAUAGAAAAUCGAAAUAAGAUAUAGUGUUUUUUUAUACAUGUAUAUUUGUUCAAGCACUGUUACUAUGAUCAAAUCAUUCUUAGUUUAGGUUUAAGAAUGUAUAUUUAGAGCAACAGAAGACCUGUUUUUAUUUCAGAUGAAAUACCUUCUUUUUUUUUAUUCUGAGUAACUGGAUCCAGGGAGUACAUGAAUGAAAAUAAAUUUAAAAUAGGAAAUCCAGGGAAUAAUGACAGCCAUUUUCCCCCCUUAAAUCAACAGUAAGUGGCAAUUAAAAUGCUUGGUGCUUUCUGUCAAUGGGGAGAAAUGUAUGUAUAAUUUUUUUUUGGUAAAAUCCACAGUUCAGUGUGCUUUAUUUAUUACAUAUUUAUUGUAAAAGUACAAAUAAAUGACUCGCUUGUACAAACAACUUGUACUUAUUUGCAGUUAUUCCAUUAAUGUUUUCAUGACAUGAUUUCCUGUUCAAGUAGUAAAGUAUUUAAAAUAAAAGAAUACACCCAGUCACUGGCACCGGA